ACCGGCGCCUCAAGUGGUAGUCGCUUUUAUUGGGCCUAAAACGUCCGUAGCCGGUCUGAUACAUUCGUGGGUAAAUCAACCAGCUUAACUGGUUGAAUUCUGCGAGGACGGUCAGACUUGGGACCGGGAGAGGUGUGGGGUACGCUCAGGGUAGGGGUAAAAUCCUGUCAUCCUGAGCGGACCACCUGUUGCGAAGGCGCCACACUAGAACGGAUCCGACGGUCAGGGACGAAGCCUAGGGGCACGAACCGG
RNAcentral lists this ribosomal RNA (252 nucleotides) under uncultured bacterium. RNAcentral's name for it is "partial 16S ribosomal RNA". It matches the Rfam family "Archaeal small subunit ribosomal RNA", at positions 475 to 727 of the family's 1478-position model. The record is from RNAcentral.